UACGGAGGGUGCAAACGUUGCUCGGAAUCAUUGGGCGUAAAGCGCACGUAGGCGGUCUCGCAAGUCGGGUGUGAAAGCCCUCGGCUUAACCGAGGAAGUGCAUUCGAAACUACGAGACUUGAAUACUGGAGAGGAUCGCGGAAUUCCCGGUGUAGAGGUGAAAUUCGUAGAUAUCGGGAGGAACACCAGUGGCGAAGGCGGCGAUCUGGACAGAUAUUGACGCUGAGGUGCGAAAGCGUGGGGAGCAAACAGG
RNAcentral lists this ribosomal RNA (253 nucleotides) under uncultured bacterium. RNAcentral describes it as "partial 16S ribosomal RNA". It matches the Rfam family "Bacterial small subunit ribosomal RNA", at positions 524 to 776 of the family's 1533-position model. The record is from RNAcentral.